Molecule: non-coding RNA, 73 nt
Organism: Desmophyllum pertusum
Lineage: Eukaryota; Metazoa; Cnidaria; Anthozoa; Scleractinia; Caryophylliidae
Source: the annotation of a GenBank genome assembly
UGUCCUGUAGCUCAGUGGCAGAGCGUCCGACUGGUGUGCGGAAGGUCAUAGGUUAGAUUUUUUUUCUGAGUAG